Molecule: long non-coding RNA, 1410 nt
Organism: Oreochromis niloticus (Nile tilapia)
Lineage: Eukaryota; Metazoa; Chordata; Actinopteri; Cichliformes; Cichlidae
Source: Ensembl
AUGAUCAACUCGGUCACCUAUAACAUCUCCAAGUUUCUGGCUUCGAUCCUCAACCCGCUGGUGGGCAGCUCUGAACACCACAUCCAGAACACCCUGGAUUUUGUUGAGAAGGUGAGAGAUGUCAUUAUGGAGGCAGAUGAAACCAUGGUCUCGUACGACGUUACAUCUCUCUUCACUUGCAUCCCAGUCACGGAAGCGUUGGAGGUAGUCCGUAAGAGAUUACAGGAUGACACCAACCUCAGCAACAGGACCACUCUCAGCAUCGACCAAGUGUGUUUGCUUUUGGAACUGUGUCUUCAUUCCACCUACUUCACAUACAAGGGUCAGUUCUACAGGCAGAAACAUGGGUGUGCCAUGGGCUCCCCAGUUUCACCCAUCGUGGCCAAUUUGUACAUGGAAGAAGUGGAAAAGAGGGCGUUGCUAUCCUACCCUGGAACACCACCAAGCCAUUGGUUCAGAUAUGUGGAUGACACCUGGGUGAAAAUCAAAUCUCAGGACGUACUACAUUUCACAGAUCACAUUAACUCGGUGGACCAACACAUCAAAUUCACCAGGGAGGAUAUGAAAAGUGGCAGGUUAGCCUUCUUAGACUGUGAGAUUUCCAUCAGUAAUGGGGGACAUCUAAAAGCUGACGUGUACCGUAAACCUACGCAUACGGAUCAGUAUCUAAGGUUUGACUCUCAUCAUCCACUGGAGCACAAACUGGGUGUCGUCAGAACGCUACAACACAGAGCGAACACCAUCCCCACUGACACAGCGGCCAGGGAGGCAGAAGAACAGCACAUCAAGAAGGCCCUGAGUAAAUGUGGUUAUCCCAGCUGGACUUUUGUCAAAGCUGGGAAGGCACCUAAAGAAAGCUCCAGCCGAUCCAGGAGAGAAGGACAACCGCUGCCCAGGCGAAAACCUGUAGUGAUCCCAUAUGUGUCAGGAGUAUCGGAACAGUUGAGACGCAUUUUUUCUAAACACCGGGUCUCUGUGGCUUUUAAACCCCAAAAUACGCUGCGCCAAAAACUGGUCCACCCCAAGGAUUGGGUCCCCCGACACAAACAGAGUAACAUAGUGUACACUGUUAAGUGCCAGGAGGAUUGCCAGGAUUUAUACAUCGGGGAAACCAAACAACCUCUGGCGAAGCGGAUGGCACAACACAGAAGAGCAACCUCAUCAGGCCAGGACUCUGCAGUUUAUUUACACCUACAGGCCAGUGGACACUCUUUCAACGAUGAGGAUGUACACAUCCUGGACAGGGAAGAACGCUGGUUUGAGCGCGGAGUCAAGGAGGCCAUUUACGUGAAAAGGGAAAGACCAUCUCUGAAUCGAGGAGGGGGCCUAAGGGUACAUCUUUCGCCAUCUUACAAUGCUGUGAUUGCAGCCAUUCCCCAACUCUCUGUGAAUGGUACUCAUGGCCAUUGA